This 1551-nucleotide ribosomal RNA is filed under the name Vibrio alginolyticus. RNAcentral's name for it is "bacterial SSU rRNA". It matches the Rfam family "Bacterial small subunit ribosomal RNA". The record is from RNAcentral. Lineage: Bacteria; Pseudomonadati; Pseudomonadota; Gammaproteobacteria; Vibrionales; Vibrionaceae.
AAAUUGAAGAGUUUGAUCAUGGCUCAGAUUGAACGCUGGCGGCAGGCCUAACACAUGCAAGUCGAGCGGAAACGAGUUAUCUGAACCUUCGGGGGACGAUAACGGCGUCGAGCGGCGGACGGGUGAGUAAUGCCUAGGAAAUUGCCCUGAUGUGGGGGAUAACCAUUGGAAACGAUGGCUAAUACCGCAUGAUGCCUACGGGCCAAAGAGGGGGACCUUCGGGCCUCUCGCGUCAGGAUAUGCCUAGGUGGGAUUAGCUAGUUGGUGAGGUAAGGGCUCACCAAGGCGACGAUCCCUAGCUGGUCUGAGAGGAUGAUCAGCCACACUGGAACUGAGACACGGUCCAGACUCCUACGGGAGGCAGCAGUGGGGAAUAUUGCACAAUGGGCGCAAGCCUGAUGCAGCCAUGCCGCGUGUAUGAAGAAGGCCUUCGGGUUGUAAAGUACUUUCAGUCGUGAGGAAGGUAGUGUAGUUAAUAGCUGCAUUAUUUGACGUUAGCGACAGAAGAAGCACCGGCUAACUCCGUGCCAGCAGCCGCGGUAAUACGGAGGGUGCGAGCGUUAAUCGGAAUUACUGGGCGUAAAGCGCAUGCAGGUGGUUUGUUAAGUCAGAUGUGAAAGCCCGGGCUCAACCUCGGAAUAGCAUUUGAAACUGGCAGACUAGAGUACUGUAGAGGGGGUAGAAUUUCAGGUGUAGCGGUGAAAUGCGUAGAGAUCUGAAGGAAUACCGGUGGCGAAGGCGGCCCCCUGGACAGAUACUGACACUCAGAUGCGAAAGCGUGGGGAGCAAACAGGAUUAGAUACCCUGGUAGUCCACGCCGUAAACGAUGUCUACUUGGAGGUUGUGGCCUUGAGCCGUGGCUUUCGGAGCUAACGCGUUAAGUAGACCGCCUGGGGAGUACGGUCGCAAGAUUAAAACUCAAAUGAAUUGACGGGGGCCCGCACAAGCGGUGGAGCAUGUGGUUUAAUUCGAUGCAACGCGAAGAACCUUACCUACUCUUGACAUCCAGAGAACUUUCCAGAGAUGGAUUGGUGCCUUCGGGAACUCUGAGACAGGUGCUGCAUGGCUGUCGUCAGCUCGUGUUGUGAAAUGUUGGGUUAAGUCCCGCAACGAGCGCAACCCUUAUCCUUGUUUGCCAGCGAGUAAUGUCGGGAACUCCAGGGAGACUGCCGGUGAUAAACCGGAGGAAGGUGGGGACGACGUCAAGUCAUCAUGGCCCUUACGAGUAGGGCUACACACGUGCUACAAUGGCGCAUACAGAGGGCGGCCAACUUGCGAAAGUGAGCGAAUCCCAAAAAGUGCGUCGUAGUCCGGAUUGGAGUCUGCAACUCGACUCCAUGAAGUCGGAAUCGCUAGUAAUCGUGGAUCAGAAUGCCACGGUGAAUACGUUCCCGGGCCUUGUACACACCGCCCGUCACACCAUGGGAGUGGGCUGCAAAAGAAGUAGGUAGUUUAACCUUCGGGAGGACGCUUACCACUUUGUGGUUCAUGACUGGGGUGAAGUCGUAACAAGGUAGCGCUAGGGGAACCUGGCGCUGGAUCACCUCCUUA